GACUAGCAGCUGCCAUAUCACCUCCGUUUACGCGUAGAGCGACACGGAUUUUAGUGUACUACGGGUAGUGUAUUUAUAUCACCUACCAACGACUAAGCACUACUGAAUGCAACCAACAGAUCACAUUCGUGUUUUCUUACGCGUUACGGAUAUCAUCUUGGCGCUUUCAAAGUACUGCAAAACAGAAAUAGAUGUCCGGUGAUUGGUAUUGGCAGAGUCGUAUAAAAGGCGUUUUGUGAGGUGGUGCUUAAAGGGGCGUGACUGCGACAGCCACCGCCGUCGCUGGCUGAUCAUGCCGGAGCACCGAGUGAAGCUCGUGCUGCAGCAAUGCACCUCGGCCCAGCUGACGCUCGCCUUGCCGUCUCACGCCACGGACCCGGCGGCAGGGGACGGUGUACUCGACGAGUGCGGCGUACCUGACCCGGAUGGCGUCAUUAGGAUCGGUCGCGGCAUGGUGAUAUUCGUGUGCUUCCUGGCGGGCGCGGACGAGUCGGCCGCAGCGCGCGCCGCCGCCACCGCGCUCUCCGUGCGGCUGAGCGAGCCGGACGCAGCGCGACGGUGGCGCCGCGCCGCGGACGACCGUGACGGCGCUGCCCGGUGACCUGCUGGUGGUGCCGCAGGCCACCCUCGGCGGCCGGCUCAAGGGCAGCGCGUUUCAGUACCACGGCAACGUGGCCAA
This is a long non-coding RNA of Pollicipes pollicipes, 679 nucleotides long. RefSeq lists it as uncharacterized. The transcript has 3 exons. Lineage: Eukaryota; Metazoa; Arthropoda; Thecostraca; Pollicipedomorpha; Pollicipedidae. The record is from RefSeq and is a predicted model, not a curated record.